Molecule: transfer RNA, 68 nt
Filed under: Callispa bowringii
Lineage: Eukaryota; Metazoa; Arthropoda; Insecta; Coleoptera; Chrysomelidae
Description: tRNA-Lys
Rfam family: tRNA
About the family: Transfer RNA (tRNA) molecules are approximately 80 nucleotides in length. Their secondary structure includes four short double-helical elements and three loops (D, anti-codon, and T loops).
Source: RNAcentral
UAUUGAAUAGCUAAAAGUUAGCAAUGGAUUUUUAAACCGUAAAUAGUAUUUAACGCCUACUUUCAAUA